RNAcentral lists this long non-coding RNA (1117 nucleotides) under Bos indicus x Bos taurus (hybrid cattle). RNAcentral describes it as "lncRNA (ENSBIXG00005031175.1)". The record is from RNAcentral. Lineage: Eukaryota; Metazoa; Chordata; Mammalia; Artiodactyla; Bovidae.
AUGGUGUUACUUAUUUAUUUAUUCAUUCUUUCAUUCAAUAUAGGGUUGAUGUGUUGCACAUUUCCAGGGAGCAUCAGUGAUAUCAUCAUCUAUGUGGACAGUGCCCUUGAAGCUGUACAGGACACAACCUUCACAACCAUAUUCAGUUUGAUGAACAACAUAAACUGGGUCAACUAAAAGGCAUCAGUUCUCAUAGAGGAAAAGAAUAUCAAUCAGCGUUUAGCGUGAACCAGAAGAAACUUUAGAGAUGAGUUACUCCAAUUCCUACUAAUUUUGCAGAAGAAGCAGUCAAGUUUUAGAGAAGUAUUACAAAUUCCCCAAGGACAUGAGGCGACUGGUGGUACAACUGGACCUAGACCCAAGCUCAGGACAACCAGAUAAAGCCCUUUCCACCUGGCAUCACUACCUCUUUAAACAUUUGGCAACAGCUCCUCCAAGAUGGUGAUUUCAUGGAAGUCAUCAGCCAUGCAAAUCAGAUAAAACUCAUCAUACAUUUUGUUACUGGCAAUGAAAUCUCAAAAGUAAUUGUUUUAGAAUUGAACAUUUUAUUUAUUGGUUAAUUGAGUCUAUUAUCAUAGUAGGAGUCUCCAGAGAAAAUCUGUAGUUUUAAGAGCUUUUCCUUUGACAGAUAAUAAGAUGGAAAGUGAAAGUAAGAGUCACUCAGUCCUAUCUGACUCUGUGAUCCCACAGACCAUACAGUCCAUGCAAUUCUCCAGGCCAGAAUACUGGAGUGGGUAGCCUUUCCCUCCUCCAGGGGAAUCUUCCCAACCCUGGGAUCAAACGCAGGUCUCCCACAUUGCAGGUGGAUUCUUUACCAACUGAGCUACUGGGGAAGCCCCAGUAAGAUGGAGGGAAGUUCCCAAAGCAUCAUAGUGUUAUGUGCUAUACAUGGCUUUCCCCUAGAAUUAUUAUUUUUAGAAGUAAAUUAUAAUCAGAGGAAUUAUUCAAGUCACACUCUGGAAGGUGGAAUUGAGGAAAGAAAGUUUCUAGCAAUUUAGGCAAGAGUUUCUCAACCUUGGCACUAUGAGCAUUUACACCACAUAAUUCCUUGUUAUGGCAGUGGGGACUAACCUGUGAUUGAUUGUAGGAUGUUUAGCAGCAUUCUUGGCCUCUACCC